AGAGUUUGAUCCUGGCUCAGAAUGAACGCUGGCGGCGUGCUUAACACAUGCAAGUCGUGCGCGAAGGUGGCUUCGGCCACCGGAGAGCGGCGAACGGGUGAGUAACACGUGGGUAAUCUGCCUUGGAGCGGGGGAUAACCUGGGGAAACUCGGGCUAAUACCGCAUACGUCGGCGAGGCUGCGGCCUCGCCAAGAAAGCUGGCCUCUGCUUGCAAGCUAGCGCUCCUUGAGGAGCCCGCGGCUGAUUAGCUAGUUGGUGGGGUAAUGGCCUACCAAGGCGACGAUCAGUAGCCGGCCUGAGAGGGUGAUCGGCCACACUGGGACUGAGACACGGCCCAGACUCCUACGGGAGGCAGCAGUGGGGAAUAUUGGACAAUGGGCGCAAGCCUGAUCCAGCAACGCCGCGUGGAGGACGAAGGUCUUCGGAUCGUAAACUCCUGUCAGGCGGGACGAACGGGCGUCGGCGAACAGUCGGCGCCUCUGACGGUACCGCCAGAGGAAGCCCCGGCUAACUCCGUGCCAGCAGCCGCGGUAAUACGGAGGGGGCGAGCGUUAUUCGGAAUUAUUGGGCGUAAAGGGCGCGUAGGCGGCCGGGUAAGUCAAAGGUGAAAUCCCUCGGCUCAACUGAGGAACUGCCUUUGAAACUGCCUGGCUCGAGGCCGGGAGGGGAGCGGAAUUCCCAAUGUAGCGGUGAAAUGCGUAGAUAUUGGGAGGAACACCGGUGGCGAAGGCGGCUACCUGGACCGGUUCUGACGCUGAUGCGCGAAAGCGUGGGGAGCAAACAGGAUUAGAUACCCUAGUAGUCC
This 806-nucleotide ribosomal RNA is filed under the name uncultured bacterium. Its description in RNAcentral is "bacterial SSU rRNA". It matches the Rfam family "Bacterial small subunit ribosomal RNA", at positions 8 to 796 of the family's 1533-position model. The record is from RNAcentral.